RNAcentral lists this unclassified non-coding RNA (390 nucleotides) under Hevea brasiliensis (rubber tree). Lineage: Eukaryota; Viridiplantae; Streptophyta; Magnoliopsida; Malpighiales; Euphorbiaceae. The record is from RNAcentral.
GACGCCGCCGCCACUGCCCGCUGGCUCGUCUCCCUCAACUCCUGGGGCGUCCUCAGCACAAUCUCCAGCGAUCUCGGCGGAUCGCCGUUCGGGAACGUCGUCUCGUUCAGCGAUGGCGUGCCCGGCGAUGGACGAGGUCUGCCGUACUUCUACCUGACGAAGCUGGAUCCGACGGCGAGGGACGCGUUGAGGGAUGAGAGGUCGUCGUUUACGGUGAGCGAGUUUCCGAUUGGGACUUGCGGUAAGAUUGAUCCGGAGAAUCCUACGUGCGCGAAGCUGACUCUUAAUGGGAAGCUGAAAUUGGUCGAUAACCAAACUGAUGAAGCAGAGUUUGCUAGAGGUGCAUUGUUUUCAAAGCAUGCUGAGAUGAAGGAUUGGCCCAAAAAUCAC